CUUGCCUACUUACCAUACCUUUUUGAAAUAACAUUCAUAAUAAACUAUCAGUUAGAAACAAUUGGCCACAGAAUGUACAAAGCAAUGCCUUGUCAAUAAACUAUUUGCUGUGAUUCACAAUUUUAGGAGGAAAUUCUCUGAAAA
Non-coding RNA from Hydra vulgaris (swiftwater hydra), 144 nucleotides. NCBI's taxonomy places the organism in Eukaryota, Metazoa, Cnidaria, Hydrozoa, Anthoathecata, Hydridae. The record is from RefSeq and is a predicted model, not a curated record.